ACAGACAAUUUAAUAAGCGAAGGAAAGACAAAAAAACAACAGAAAAAACAAGCUGACAUAAAAGCUACCUCUCACCAGCAGACCGAUGAUGAGCCACUCAACCUCUACUUUAGAAAGAAUAUUUUCUAGUUUUAUUGUGGAGCAUGAUCUUAUCUGUCAUGGAAUAUGCCUUUUGUCAUUUUAGGUCAGCUGUCCUGGCUGCGUCCCCAGCCAGCUUCUUGUUUAUUCUUGAGUUGUCACAACUGUUUUAGUCACAAGUCCAAAACCCAGUGCCAUAUGAAGAAAAUAAUCUUCAUGCCAACCAGACACUGUGAAGUAAAAUAUGAUUUUAAGCUUUUAAAUCCGAAGUUAUAUCAGCUAUCAUGGGGAAAAUGGAUAUGGCUCUUUGCAAGUGUAUCAGUUCCAGUGCUGAGACCUUGUGUGGAGGACAUCUGAUCAUCAAGUUUUUGUGAUGGAAACUGGUGUCUGUUGAACUUGACAUAAGUGUGGACCGUACAGUCUUCAGUGGGAAAGGGAGGGCAGUGAGUUGGGGCAGCCAUGCCCUGUCUGGGAGUGGAAUUCCUUCUCCUUGAUCAAUGGCCUGGUCUGAGAGGUACAGGGAUGGUACAGACUGGAGAGCACUGGAACUGCACCACUGGGAGUAUUCUAAGAUUACCUCAACUACUGAUCACCUCGCUAAGUGGUUGCUUCACCCAACUGUGGCCAGAAUGGGAAGUGUUGUGACUGAAGUCAAUUAUCUUGAAGUCCUUGGGAAGGGAGAGGUACAAAGGCUACACCUCAGUGAGCUGUCAGUGGUCUCAGGAUCAGAUGCCAACUGCAGUGCAUUGGUGAGGUUGUACCUUGGAGCUGAAUUCUUCAGAGCCUGGCACCUGGACAGAUGCAGGAGCAUUUCUCCUGAUGUAAACCACUGACCAAGCCUGGAACUGGAUGGAUCUGGCUGCAUCAAGGCUCCUUGGUUCCAUGGGUCAAGGAAUUUAGAAAGCAAAGGGGUCCACUCUGAAUACUGUGACUCAGCGGAAGGUCUCCUACAUGUGUGUUUACCCUACCAUCUAUGCAGUAAAUAAUCAAGUGUAGCCAGACAUCUCAAAUCUUAAGAUACUGCCUUAUUUACAGUUAAGCUUUGUUAAAUCAUGAUAUUGCAUUCAUAUUACAUCAAUGAACAAAUUCUAGCAAUAGUGUAGUUGUUUCAAGCCACGUCAGCUUGUGAGUUCUGCCCUGAUAGGAGGUCACAUCAGCAUGGUAUAUCUGAGUCCUGCUUUCACACAGUCCUCUGUUGUUUGAAAGUAGGAGCAGAAUUUGACACAUUAAGAAAAUUCUGCACCAUAAAACCUCUUGGUAAUUGCAGUUCAAGAAAUGUCACACUAAGUACAUCCCAAAUGUGCUCGUGGUUAUUUGGGUACUCUGAUAUUGCAAUGAAUGUUUUGUUGUAGUGUAAUUCCAUGUACAAUCACAAAGACUUUUUAACCAUGCAGUACCAUCAAAAGAAGUUUUCAUUUACCAGCAUAUGAUAGAGUUAAAUCGGUAUCCAGAAAAUCUUGUUUUUCUGUAUAAACAUCUCACUUUAAAUGGUCUUCUCAGAAGAAAAAUAAUUCUUGUUAAUUAUGCAUCUGGUCUUCAUACAAUUUUUAGUCAUCUUUUGUUUUCUUUUAAUUUAUCUGUGAAUAUAUUGAGGUUUGUUUAAUAAUACUGCAUAUUCCUCGGUGCUGAACUAAAAGACAACUCAGUUGUUGUUUACGAAAAUAACUUUGUGAGUUACAAUAGAAAUGACAGUGAUGCAAACUACAGUGAGAUAAGCAGCACUGUAACACUGGAGUCCCAUAAAAGAAUCAUCUCCAAUAGAACAGACCGUCAAGUUCACCAAGUCCAAUUAUCAAUAUGAAAUACAAAGCCCCAUCACAAAACUAUGUCCUGUAAAUAGUCUAGUGAAAAGAAGACCCACAGCUACCUGAGAUCUCAGAGGGGGCUGAAGGAAUGCUUUUCAUUAGUGGCUCCUCUGAGACAAAUUACAGACAGAAAUGCCAAUGCUCAUCUAAUACAACUCAUGUGACAGGCUUCAAGAGAGUUGAGGGUAAUUUACAGCUAGAGCUGGAUGGAAAAGUAAUCUAGAAAAUGUGAUAAAAAGCAGCAUUAGUUUUGGCCUAAAUUGGAAUGCAAAUAGGAAAUAUUUUCUCCCCAAGAUUUUGAUCUAGAAACAUUAAAAAUUGGCAACAAUGCAAACCAGCCUAACAUUCUUGAAACUGAAUAGUUUGCUGUAGUAUGUGUAGUAACACAGAUUAAAUUCUGGUGCAACAUCACUUAAAAUCAAUUUGUCGUGACUGAUAACAGAUCUCAGCUCUAUAAUGAAAAUAACUUUGUUUAAUAACCAUGUGAAUAACUUCAAGAUUAAGUCAUUUUUAAAAAAAUACGUCUUAAUUUAAAAAAUACACCUUUUCCAAUACUU
Gallus gallus (chicken) is the source of this 2440-nucleotide long non-coding RNA. Lineage: Eukaryota; Metazoa; Chordata; Aves; Galliformes; Phasianidae. The record is from Ensembl.